GCCAAUUCAUUGGUAUCUAAAGAAGGCAACGGGAGAUCCCCACCAUUCUCCACUUAUCUGGUCAAUUUGGAAGAUUGAAUCUUGAAUUAGAUUGCUUAGCAAUCUAGUUUAGCCCAUGCCAGAUAGAUCAUUCAUAUGAUGACUGAUUAGAUGAGAUCUAAACUCAAAUAUCCUCACAAAUAUUAAGUCUAUAAGUCUUCCACCAUUGUAGAUGUGCGGACAUGCUACCGACGUUGAUUGUUCUCAGCUGGUCAUAGUGGUUCAGCUGCAUCAGAAAUACGCAACCACUCUAUUAACAAAGAGUUACUCCAGGGUAAGGAUAGGGUUGGGCCCAAUAACUG
RNAcentral lists this long non-coding RNA (341 nucleotides) under Elaeis guineensis (African oil palm). RNAcentral's name for it is "long non-coding RNA (EGUI_LNC057895)". Lineage: Eukaryota; Viridiplantae; Streptophyta; Magnoliopsida; Arecales; Arecaceae. The record is from RNAcentral.